UUUCAAUUGCAUCGGCUGCUCUACUGAUCUGAAAGUCUUGCUUUCCUUUGGUUAGGGAAAACCUAACACUGCCUAAAUAAUUAAGCAAAUGAUAUACCCUUAAAGAAAUGAGAAAAUACUGUUUGUUAGAGACAACUCCUUUAAAAUCACCACCUGAAACCACAGUCGCGUGUGUGUAAGGCUCACAGCAGUCGUCAGUGGCAUGAUGGUCAACACAGCAGUGGUUUUCCUGAAUUCCUCAAAGGAAAACAAGAGUAGGAGUGGAGCAGUUGUGCGAAGUAGUAGCAAUAUAUAUCCAGCAAAACAGAGAUUUCCCUAAACUGUUGUGGAGAAAUGUCUCAACUUUGUUACAUUGUUAGGUUUCUCCAGUACAAAGGAAGCGAUACUCUGAGGUCAAUUGGGUAGCUUGGGUGGUGUAAUCACUCCUGAACUUCCUCUUCUGGGCAUAUCACUUGUUAGAGACAGACUAGCUGUUCCGCAGAGUCAAAAGAGAGUCAUAUCUUUCUUCCUGGAGGGUAUAUGGGUUAGGGGGAGGCGAGAGAGGAAGGAAGGCAGGGGAAACAACUGGCCUCUUCAUUCCUUUUCUUUAUUCGUGUUUUCAAUGGGGCUAUAAAUGUCAGUUCCUUCCUAAUGGAUCUGGAGAUUGAAGCACUCCUGCUACUGAAAAGGUUGAUAUGGCUCGAGCAGCAAUCUGCAUCCACUGGCCCCUCGUUACUUCUCUCCAAAAUCUGGCUCCCCAAAGGGCAUAGGAAGAGUCAGUAUCUCUGAAGGAGAUCUACUAAAGCCAACACCAAAGAAAGAGACUUUGAGAGCCAGUAGGAUACGCUAAGCAGAAUGAUUUGAAUCUUAUGCCACUCCAUGGGCUGAGUGGAUUGAAGGAGGCUGCUGGGCUUCAUACCUCUAAAUUACUGCUUGAAGGUAAGUGCUCAUGUCAUGAACAUGUGUUCAAGAGCUGAGCAAGAGGCGUUGCUUUCCAGCAAAGGUCAACAGGAGGAGGGAAGUGACUCCACCUAGAAGUAAGAGAGUGCCUGAACUUUGACCUUUGCAUGUAAGGC
This 1055-nucleotide long non-coding RNA is filed under the name Struthio camelus australis. RNAcentral describes it as "lncRNA (ENSSCUG00000009985.1)". Lineage: Eukaryota; Metazoa; Chordata; Aves; Struthioniformes; Struthionidae. The record is from RNAcentral.